This is a long non-coding RNA of Esox lucius (northern pike), 3884 nucleotides long. Lineage: Eukaryota; Metazoa; Chordata; Actinopteri; Esociformes; Esocidae. The record is from Ensembl.
CUAAUUCAAUUUCAAAUAAAUUAAUAUUAGUUGCUAAAACAACAUACCGUUGUCAGAGUCCAAAAAACACUGGAAAGCCAAUGACAUCGCCAUUUAAAAAAUAAAUGUUCUUCAUGAAAACACGAUAACUAAGAUCUCAAACAAACAACUUGUCCAAAAAAAGCAACAACAAAAAUGAAAAAUACAUCCAGGAAUUUUUGAUUAUAAAUAAAAAAAAUAAAAAGUCCACUUUAAAAUAACUCUUGCUGUAUUCAGUCUUUUGGUUUCAACCAAGUAGGUGAACAGGAGGCCAAGGGAAAUGCAAGGACAAUUCAGCAAACUGAAAACUGUUUUCAAAUUAAUCUAAAACUCUAUGAAUCAACACCACUGACACUACAGGUGAAACUAUAACAAAAAAGGGGGUUUACUACUGUACUACUCCUAGCUCCAAUAAAUAACAUGAUAAAUAACUGUUCAGAGAUUGCUUAGCCGUUCUCAAUCAUCAUUCUGAAUACAAACGUUUUAAGGUGAUGGACCAAAACAUUUCAGCCACCUGCUUUUAACAUUCUGUCAAUUGUAACCAAAAUAUACAAAAGCCAUUUAAAUGUCUGUGCAGUUCUAUUUCCAGUGCAAACCUAAAAAACCUUGUAGGAACUGAUGAAUAUAUUUCCAUUAGAAGACACUGUUCCAAAAUUCUGUUCAUGGCAAUUUAGCCUAAAAUGAUAUGGAAGCUCAACAGCUGUUUCUUCUCCUACACUAUCUUGAGCGCUUUUAAAACGGACACUAUUUUGAAUGCAUCCAAAGACGACAGCCAUUCCCACGUGUGAUUUGUUUUGCACAUUCCCAUGCCUUCAACUGCUAUACUGAUUGAAUUGGCUUUCGCCUUUUGCAAUUGUUCUAUCAUUUUCAAAUCCUUUCUGCAUCUAUCAUCCAUCUUUGACACCUGCUGCAAGUCAACAGGCAGUGCAUUCAAACAUACUAUCAGAAAACUGGCUAGGAGUAACUCAACAAUCUGAACGGUCAAUUGAAAAAGGUCUGGGUCUGUCCACAUGGUAAGCCUGUAAAACACAAGGUCCUUGGACACUUCAAUGUCAUCAAACAAGCAUACGUUUCCUUCAACUAGGUUUCUUCCAUCUUCUUGCCAUUCUUUGAUCUUUGUAACGAGGGUUUGGUAUCUCACUUUCAUGUCCAACACCUUUUCCUCCGAAGUCAAGGCCUUUAAAAGAGGAUCAAUUAUUUGCUUUGAAAUCAGACCCAGAGCUCUACAUCCUGCUUUAAAUGGUUGAACCUCCAUAUCAACAGCAACUGCUGCAAGGACACUACUGUCAUCUUCAUGGUCCCUGCAGAACUCGCUGAUGUCACUGUAGAUGCAAUAUACCCCGGCUGCACUAUGAAACACACCAUCAAUUCUGCUUUCAGAGUACGGACAUAAAGGCACUUCGUCCAAUUCUCCUUUGCUGAUCAGAAAGUUUCUGAACGCAGGCAGGUUUUUGUCCCUUUCCCAUCCUUGCUGGACAGCAUCAUGUACUGAUUUCACUUGACACACUGUUCUGGACUCCAAAUCUGUUGUUCCAGUGUUUUGAGAGGCAUGGAGUCUUACUUUGUCUCCUAAAAUCAUCCUCUCCCACAGAAGAAUGGUUGUUUCUGCCUGAUGAGCUAAACCUUCAAUCAAAUGUAAGCCACAUAAGAGUUGACUAACAAGGGACACCAUUCUCUUUUCAGUGUGGGAAAAGUCACCAUGUUUACUAACUGUAAGUGGUAGGACAUCUGAUCUGUAUUUAGCUAGGAUUUGUUUGAAAUUAUUCUGAUCAAAACAGCUUUUUAGGUUGGAAGUCAUCAGUUUACUUUGAUCUGUGUCCCUGCACAUUAAUAUUUCAAAGAUGUAUUUGCCACAAAUGUUUACCUGUUUGUUCUUCGAGUGGAAAGCUUUCUCCAUGACCUCAGACUGACCCUCAAACUCUUCCUUUAUCUCAGCAGAUCGGUCCUCAUGACAGAGUACUGCGGUGUCAUUAGCAAACUGUGUUGCAUCCGUCUUAGUUAAGACGCUCUUUGUCUUUUUAGUCUGAGCAAUUUUUUGGGAAGUGAAAGUUUCUAAUUUUUUCUUCAUUCUCCUGUAAUCCACAGGUUGUUUGGAUACAUUUGCAGUCCCACAACGUUUCCAUGGGGGCGCCAUGGAGAAUUUUGCAUCUAGCAAUUCACUUCUCAAUUCCACCCCUUUUGAUUGCCACUGACGGGUUGACAUUUUCCUUUCUACGUUUAUUAUGUUAUGGAUAAUAUCAUCCAUCAGAUCCAAAUCAUUUUGGAAAUCCAGAUCAAAAUUGUACUCAAGAACAGCACGAACAAUCUGUCUGUAAGUCCCACACAUUUCGGAAGCAAAACGUGUCAAUUCGAGCAUUACACCUCGGGUCAAGCAAUGCAAGUCUAGUUUAUCUUUUACUGCAGGUUCUGGUUUCACAUUAAGGUCUAAGCCUAUUUUCUGACAGAGGGGGUAGAGGUUAUUGGUGGCAUGUUUUGUUCUGGAUGUCAUAAAAGAUUGGUCCCUUUUGAGGUUGUGUCCUACCUCAGACCAUGAUAUAUUUGGGACAAUAGAAACUGUGUCCAUCUUCACAUGCUGAGAAGAUAUGAGGACCAUAUUAGGUUGGUACUUCAUACAGCUAUCAGUAGGUCCAUUCCUGAGGCCAGGAGUUGCACGCUUUGAUCCAUAUGUUUCAUUAGAGAUGGUCUCUUUUUCAUGGUCCAUUAGAGAGACUCUGUUGUCCUGUUCAGCCUUUUCAUACCCAACCAAUGCAUUUUCCUCAAAAGGCUUUACAGGAACACAUUGUUCCUCUUGCAUCAUAACCAAUUGCUGCGAUUCUACAUCUUUUUUAAAUUGUAGAGUAAAGGACACCAGGUCAUUUAAACUCUUGAGUUCUACACAUGUUUUUGACAUUGGAAAUGACCUUGGAUCAGGUAGAUCAAAUACUUUUGUUAUCAAUUCAGGUCUUUGCCGUCUGGACUUUCCCUUCAAGUACUUUACUUUCGCCAUGAUCCGAGUAGCAAAUUCAUACCGUUGAGCUUUAUGCAAACCAAGAUCAAAGUUGUAUUCUAGAAUAUCAGAAAUGACAAGGGCGUGAGAUCUAUUCAUUUCUUUGGCAAAAUGUGAAACCUCAAUCAUUACACCAUUGGUCAGUAGAUCUAUGUCAAGUUUUUUCUUUAUUCCAGAUCCAACAUUGAAAUUUACACCCACUUUCAUGCAGUUGGGGUAUAUGUCGUUAAACUUUCCUUCUGCAAAGAGCUGUCCAAAUUCUGUACUUUUUGAAUUAUUUACUGAGAAUUGCAAGAUUUCAUUGGCCAUCUUCUGAUCAUGCUUUUCUUUACGUCUUCUGUUAGAAACACAUUGAGCAGCAGAAUUUUUUAUUUUCCUUUUAAUCACAUCAAUUUUAAAUAGUUUUUGGGAUAAAUGUCCAGGCCCAUGUUCGUAUUUUUCGGCAAAACUUUUUACUUUACUUGCAAUAUUUUUAGAAAAUUGUGAAGUAUACCGAUGUUGGAAAGGGAAAUCAAAGUUGUAUUCUAAAAUAUCAUAUAGAGAUGGUGCAUAAAAGCGUUUACACUUUUUUACAAACGUAUGAACCUCAUACAUUACACCCUUGGUUAGAAAGCGUGGGUCCAGUUUCACGGUGCGGGCCAGCAAGGAUUUCACAUCAAGUUCAAGGCCUAUUUUAUAACAGAGGGGGUAGAGGUCUUUCGUGGUUUUCUCUGUUGUGGAGCACAUUAAGGAUUGGUUCCCAAUACCUCUUUGUACUGCUUCAGAAUCAAACAGUGUUACAUCAGGCUCCAUGUUAACAUCCUGAUGAAAUACCAAGUCCAGAUUUGGCUCUUGUUUAAAGCAAAGAUCAGUAGAUAUAUUUUCAUUGCUGAAUACAGCA